This 1149-nucleotide ribosomal RNA is filed under the name Triticum aestivum (bread wheat). Its description in RNAcentral is "partial small subunit ribosomal RNA". Lineage: Eukaryota; Viridiplantae; Streptophyta; Magnoliopsida; Poales; Poaceae. The record is from RNAcentral.
AUGCUCUCCGCGGCCUCCGCCCUCCACGCCGUCUUCGCCCCGCGCGCCGCCACCUUCGCCUACCGCGCCCGCCACGCCGCCGUCCGCUACCUCCGCUCCAUCCCCAACGCCACCUGGUUCUUCCGCGUCGCCAUCCCGCGCCAGCCCUUCGCCCCCCGCCACGUCCGUCGCCUUCUCGACGCCAUCUCCGGGAAGGUCGACGACCCGGGCUUCCUGGACUAUCUGCGCGAGCUGUUCCUUUCCGAUGCGAUAGCCUUCGAGCUCGGCGGCUCCGACCUCUGCCGCGGGCUCCCUCAAGAGUCCGAGCUCACCAGCACGCUGCUCAACAUAUUCUUUGAUCCUGUGGAUAGAGAGGUGAUGGCCAUCCGGGAGGAGGUGCACAAGAAGAAUCCUAGAGUCAAGGAUGAGAGCGUCCGGCAUACGCCUGUGAGAGUGUAUGCGGUCCGGUAUCUCGACGAGACGAUGGUUGUGACGUCCGGGUCGAAGAUGCUCACACUUGAGGUCAGGGAUAGGAUCCUCACAGUGUUGGAGAGGGACUUGGAGGUGAAGGUUGACAGGUUUGGUAGCUCACUCCACAGUGCAGUGUCAGAGAAGAUGGAAUUCCUGGGGAUGGAGUUCCAAGCUGUGCCGCCAUCAGUCUUACACCCUCCCAUGUCUGAGAAGGCCAAGAGGGCAAGAAAGAUGUAUCUGAAGAGGAAGGCAGCAGAGGCACAGGAGCUGAAGAAUGCCCGGGAGACACGGAGGAAGAAGCUUGGGUUGAAGAUACUGAACCACCUGUUCAAGAAGGUGAGGCGUGGGCAUGAGUUCGAGUUUGGCUUCCGAAUUGAGGAUGAAGUGUGCCAGGAGUUCAAGGGUUGGGCAGAGGAGACAGUGGUCGAAUACUUCAAGUCACAGGAGCAUCGCCGUUAUUGGCACCGAUUGUUCACAUCCGGUGACUUCUUGUCACUGAAUAGGGUUAGGGAUCAGUUGCCACCAGCAUUGGUGGACUCCUAUGAUCAAUUACAGGAAACAUUUGACAGGUUCUUGAUGCCGAGGAGGGGCCAUGACAUGACUGAGGACGAGGAGAUGCUAGCAGAGGAGGAGGACGAGAGACAAUACGAGAAGAGGAUUGUUGAGGACUUGACAGAGUUGAAGAUGAUGGUCAAUUGA